Meleagris gallopavo (turkey) is the source of this 2296-nucleotide non-coding RNA. Lineage: Eukaryota; Metazoa; Chordata; Aves; Galliformes; Phasianidae. The record is from RefSeq and is a predicted model, not a curated record.
UGGAAGGCUGUUGGGGCUCAGGCCUUUGGCUACCUGAGAGAGCAGGUCAUUCCCAGCCUAGAGGGACCAGAAUAGAAGAUCAUCCAGUACAAGAACAAGAUGGGUUGAACUGUGAUCACCCCCCAGGCCAUGCUGAUGGGCUGCAGUGCAACAACUGAGAUCCAAAGGCCAGAGCUGCAACAGCUUUUCACGGGAAGAGUAUUGAUGUUUACUGGAUGGCACUUGGGUCUAGCUGAGCAAUCCCACUACUCUUGGGGCACCCCUGUGAGAAAAGCCUGAGCAGCAGGGGUUUUGCGUGGUUUGUGGUGCUGACUUAUUUCUUUCAUGUUGAAACUGAGGGCCCCAUCAAACUCGGAGUGAAAUCGAUGCCAGCGAGGCCUGUAAUUAGGCCACCUGCUUACUGAGACAUCCUGCUAUUAUGAGGCUUUCCUCACUGGCUUCAAUUCCUCUGUUACAGACUGUCAGUCCCUCCCACGUUUUGUACAAAUGGUCAGGAAGAGGUAUCUCUAUAAAUGAGGUGGGAACUUGCAAGGCUUUUCCUCUGACCCUUCAUCCACUUUGGAGAAACUCCCAAAAUUGGUGGCAGGUGGUGAAGCCAGCUACAUGUUUUAGUCUGCUUCUCUCCUUCCAGCUUGAUCUGGUUGGAAAUAAAACCUGAGGGUUUGUUGACUUCAGGGAGGUUAAAUAAUCUUGCCCCAUAGGUCAGACUGGUUAAAAACAAAAAGUCUCAAGGAAAUAGUGGAGGUCUGGGGUUCAGUGUUGGUGAAAGACUGCAUCAGAAAUGAGACACAAUUGCACCUGUCUGGCAGGGAUGUUCAGUUGCCAGCAAUCUGCAGUAUUAUGGCAGUAUUUCUCAAUUCUGUCUGAAAUUUAGCAGAAAAUCUCCCAAAAAACUUAGCCUGAUUUAUAAACUUUUUCAAAGGUGAAAGAGGAGAGCAAUAGCUGCAGUGCCAUCCCAUGGCUUUCAAGAAGAUGCUGCUUCCAGGAAAGCUGGCUUGGAUCACAUGUAACUCAAAGGUUGUGCUGGCUCACACGACUGAUGGACACUGUACCUCCUCCCACCUCCUGCUUCCCCAGGACAUUCCUUUGCUCAGAUGCAAAGGCAUUUCUGCAUGCUUAAGAUGUAUCAAAUGUCCAGACCCUCCUGUCUCCAACUACUUGCAUGAGAGAAAGAAAACAGACCUUGGUGAGAUGGCAGCUUGUCCUGCACCUCACAACACUUUCAAGUCCAAACAGAAGCUGUUGCUUUCCUGUGAUGUAUAAGAAACCAAUAAUGUGCGAUGAAAACUUAAUGCCAACUGAUUUGCUGAACUUCAACGAAAACCAUCACUUCUUCAUGGCAGGUGCUUGAUAGUGAAAGGAAAAGUGUAUCACAGUUCAAUGAAGGCAGCAGUGUACAUGUAUCCUUCCAGGAGGUGUGGAUGCUUCUUCUCCUCUGCUGGAGACUUCAUGUGAGAUCCCUUGUCCCAGGGUCCCAAAUAACUCAAAACAAGUGAAGGCACUGAAAACACCACAGCAGUGGGAGUUGUGGGUGCAGCAAUCCAGACCAAGGUGCUGACAAGCGUUCCCAACACGGUGUGAAAAUAAACUCCCUGUGGAUUGUUGAAGUCCUGCAGCAUCUGUCUUCUGGCCCUUUUUUCUCUCUCGGUGAGCUGACUUGACUUUUUAAAGAGAAUGGAUUUCACCAAAGCAAAUUGAUAUUUUGUCCUGCGAUAUAAAGCUGAUUUAUGGUGGAUCACUUGAUUUAUUGCUUCCAGACAACAAACAAGUCAAAAUGUCAGUUUGUAUUUUCAUUCCUUCAAACCUGAACCACUGUGGACCCUUUGAGCUGCUGUUAAAGCCACAGGGCAAAAGCCAUCCAGGUGCAAUCCACAGCCCUCAGUGUGAGAGCAGGAGGUCGGGCUCCCAGCACACCAAUACCAAAUGCUUCUGGGGGUGCUCCUCUAUGGAGAGACAUCUUUGUUGUGUCCAAAGCUUCUGAAAUCAAAAGCUCUCCAAAAAGCCCUCUGCUAAGUGUCAGUGACAGAUGCCCAUCCUCCCCAGCGCGUGCAGGGAUAGAAUGUAGCACAGUGAUUGGGUUGGCUGGGACUUGCACAUACUGCACUGAUUCAAUGCCUGGAUUCAUGACGCUGGAGGAACACUAAUGAGUUUCCAGUGUUUGAGAUGGGAUGGAUCAUUAGAUGGUCACUGAUUUUAUUCUCUAGGAAGUAGAGCAGAAAAUUGGAUUUUUAUUUUUAUUUUCUUUUUGCCAGGCUUUGUCUAAAGAUAAGCCAUAAAUGUAGCAUUGAUCUUGGUC